UUAACACAUGCAAGUCGAGGGGAAACGAUAGAGAAAGCUUGCUUUUUCUAGGCGUCGACCGGCGCACGGUGAGUACUGCGUAUCCAACCUGCCCAUCACUUGGGGAUAACCUUGCGAAAGUAAGACUAAUACCCAAUGACGUCCAUAGAAGACAUCUGAAGGAGAUUAAAGAUUUAUCGGUGAUGGAUGGGGAUGCGUCUGAUUAGCUUGUUGGCGGGGUAACGGCCCACCAAGGCGACGAUCAGUAGGGGUUCUGAGAGGAAGGUCCCCCACAUUGGAACUGAGACACGGUCCAAACUCCUACGGGAGGCAGCAGUGAGGAAUAUUGGUCAAUGGACGAGAGUCUGAACCAGCCAAGUAGCGUGCAGGAUGACGGCCCUAUGGGUUGUAAACUGCUUUUAUAAGGGAAUAAAGUGAGUCUCGUGAGACUUUUUGCAUGUACCUUAUGAAUAAGGACCGGCUAAUUCCGUGCCAGCAGCCGCGGUAAUACGGAAGGUCCGGGCGUUAUCCGGAUUUAUUGGGUUUAAAGGGAGCGUAGGCCGGAGAUUAAGCGUGUUGUGAAAUGUAGACGCUCAACGUCUGCACUGCAGCGCGAACUGGUUUCCUUGAGUACGCACAAAGUGGGCGGAAUUCGUGGUGUAGCGGUGAAAUGCUUAGAUAUCACGAAGAACUCCGAUUGCGAAGGCAGCUCACUGGAGCGCAACUGACGCUGAAGCUCGAAAGUGCGGGUAUCGAACAGGAUUAGAUACCCUGGUAGUCCGCACGGUAAACGAUGGAUGCCCGCUGUUGGUCUGAAUAGGUCAGCG
RNAcentral lists this ribosomal RNA (806 nucleotides) under uncultured bacterium. RNAcentral's name for it is "bacterial SSU rRNA". It matches the Rfam family "Bacterial small subunit ribosomal RNA", at positions 48 to 845 of the family's 1533-position model. The record is from RNAcentral.